Sapajus apella (tufted capuchin) is the source of this 702-nucleotide long non-coding RNA. RefSeq lists it as uncharacterized. Lineage: Eukaryota; Metazoa; Chordata; Mammalia; Primates; Cebidae. The transcript is spliced from 2 exons. The record is from RefSeq and is a predicted model, not a curated record.
GCCGCUGCGACCGCCAGCACAGAGGAAGUGACGAGGAGCCCGGGAAUGUGCACCUGUUGCUGGGGGCAGCCGCCAGCCCACCCGCCCCGCCCCCGGGACUUGAUCCUGUCUCGAGCAACUGCCAAGCCCGCCACCAACAGAUGACAGACAGCACUUCAGUUGUAUAAAUUGUCUUUAAUUGAGAAAGCAUGGAGUGGAGACCCGAUCCCCUGGGAGCAGUGCCAGGAGUUGGGUAGAGCCUGAGCAGGGAUUUGUGGGUCGGGAAGACAAACCAGUGGCAACAGAAGCUGAAAGGGGAACAGGAGUGUCAUCUGCUGUCCCCAUUCUCCCCCUUCCCACCCAGCGGCCGGCUUCCCCUCUCACUGAAGGAGCUGGUAUCCUCUGGGGUGCCCUGGAUGCUCCCAUCGGGAUUUGCCUGGAGGUAGAAACCCUGGCGGCAGAACAGUUUGGUGACGAUGCCUUUGAGCUGAGGCUCUGGAGAGAGAGACAUUCAUCUUUGAAAAUGACAUCUCUGUUCCCAGCAACAUACCUACACUUGGCAGGAUCAGAGGGAAGAAAGGAGAAUGAAAGGAAGGAAGAGGGUCCCAGGGCCCCAGCCCUCUUACCCUCCAAGCACGCUCUCUCCCACCUCUCUUUAACUCCUGGGAAAGCUGGUGUGGGUCCCUUCUGUUUCCUAUAACCAGGAGCUUUCAGUUUAAUUUA